Molecule: long non-coding RNA, 650 nt
Organism: Oncorhynchus keta (chum salmon)
Lineage: Eukaryota; Metazoa; Chordata; Actinopteri; Salmoniformes; Salmonidae
Exons: 8
Source: RefSeq, a predicted model, not a curated record
UUAAGGUGGAGAUAUGGUUCUUCUGUUGCAGUCAUGGGUUGUUUUAAGGUGGAGAUAUGGUUCUUCUGUUGCAGUCAUGGGUUGUUUUAAGGUGGAGAUAUGGUUCUUCUGUUGUAGUCAUGGGUUGUUUUAAGGCGGAGAUAUGGUUCUUCUGUUUCAGUCAUGGGUUGUUUUAAGGUGGAGAUAUGGUUCUUCUGUUGCAGUCAUGGGUUGUUUUAAGGUGGAGAUAUGGUUCUUCUUGUUGCAGUCAUGGGUUGUUUUAAGGUGGAGAUGUGGUUCUUCUGUUGCAGUCAUGGGUUGUUUUAAGGUGGAGAUAUGGUUCUUCUGUUGCAGUCAUGGGUUGUUUUAAGGUGGAGAUGUGGUUCUUCUGUUGCAGUCAUGGGUUGUUUUAAGGUGGAGAUAUGGUUCUUCUGUUGCAGUCAUGGGUUGUUUUAAGGUGGAGAUGUGGUUCUUCUGUUGUAGUCAUGGGUUGUUUUAAGGUGGAGAUAUGGUUCUUCUUGUUGCAGUCAUGGGUUGUUUUAAGGUGGAGAUAUGGUUCUUCUGUUGCAGUCAUGGGUUGUUUUAAGGUGGAGAUAUGGUUCUUCUUGUUGCAGUCAUGGGUUGUUUUAAGGUGGAGAUGUGGUUCUUCUGUUGCAGUCAUGGGUUGUUUU